This 23-nucleotide non-coding RNA is filed under the name Drosophila melanogaster (fruit fly). RNAcentral also lists the same sequence under 2 other names. The record is from RNAcentral. Lineage: Eukaryota; Metazoa; Arthropoda; Insecta; Diptera; Drosophilidae.
GAAUGUCAAAGUGAAGAAAUUCA